This 75-nucleotide transfer RNA is filed under the name Actinomycetota bacterium. RNAcentral's name for it is "Actinobacteria bacterium tRNA-Leu". It matches the Rfam family "tRNA". From Rfam's summary of the family: Transfer RNA (tRNA) molecules are approximately 80 nucleotides in length. Lineage: Bacteria; Bacillati; Actinomycetota. The record is from RNAcentral.
GUCCCCGUAGCCCAACUGGUAGAGGCGGCCGACUUAAACCCGGCACCGGUGCGGGUUCAAAUCCCGCCGGGGACA